UACUAACAAGAAAAGAGUUUAAUAUAUUUAUUUUCAAUAAGAAAACAUAAAGAAAGAAAAUGAAAUGAACUAAAUGAAAAAGUUUGUUCGUUAUUGUUUCAGCUAUUGAAAUGUCUAUGGAAUUUGUUACAAUUUAGAUUCUAAGAUAGGAGAUAUUGGGUAGGGAGUGUAAGAAGGCCAAGACGGACGCGUGCUUGGUGUACACGUGUAUACAGUAUAUAUCUGUGCGUGUGUAUAUGCGAAGGCGAAUACAGAAAGAAUAAAUUAAAAAACAUCCCAUAGGUGGCAUUGCGAAUAUUAUAUUGAUUUGUGUCUGGCUGCAUUUAAUACUUGCAAGCCUAUAUUUUGAUCUGAGCCGUUGUUUUCCUGUUGGAAAUCAAAUCGACUCAUUCAAAUAAAACAUAUAUAUUUAAGUAAGAAUACUUUAAAUUCCUAAUCUGCUUGUUUGACGGGCCACAUUAAACUGGAUAAGCUUUAUUCUUUAUAAACUCUGAUCGAAUGUCUUUCGCCUAUUGAUGUCUUUUAAAGAGGUACAAUUUUUUUUAUCAGUAUGCACUCCCAUCAAUAGUAUUAUAUUUGCAAUUAUUUGACUGUAAUCCACUUAUCUAACUUAAAACAGAAAAGAUUUUAUUGAGUAGGUGUAUAGGAGUAUGAGCGAUAAUAUGAUUUAAAGAACAACUAGAAAAAUUCAGAGAAAAACAGUUCCAUCACUUAGUAUAGUUUAUUAUAUUAAUAUUACGAAUUUUUUCAAAGUACUAAUUGAUAUUCUAUAAUUAUCAGUUAAUGAAAUAAUAGAAGAGAAGAAGUUGAAGAAGGUUCACACUGUAUAUAGUAUAUAUAUUAUUAAUAUAUAGUAUAUAUAUAUAUAUACAUAUAUAUGUAUAUAUGUAUAUAUAUAUAUAAUAAUUAUAUAUGCAUAUAUAUACCUUAAAUACAAUGAACGAAAGAAGAAUAAACUUCGAAAGAACCCUAUCAGAAACAAUUAAAUUACUAUGUAGAGGGGAAUUUCAAAAAGAAGAAAGAUUUACAAUCAAUGGAACCAUAGGUGUCUCUUUGCCAAAUGAUAGAAUAUUUUUAGUUGGAAUUCACGAGGAAAUUAUCAAUAAAAAUGGUAGAAUUCAUGAAGAAAGUCCAACAAAUUUAAAUGAUGAAGCUAUAACGAAGGCUGCUGAUGAAGGGCCUGAUGUUAACAACUUUGAUAUUUUGCCAAUGUUAGUGGAUGAGGAAAAUCAACAAAAGAAACAAGAAGAUUCUUCGUCUUCCAUUAAUUGGGAUGAUGAUAGUGAUAGUCUUUCAUUAAAUUCUUCAAAUGCAUUGAAUCGGAGAGACUCAGAAACAGAUACUGACAGUAAACGAUCAGUUAUUAACUGCUCCAAUGAAGAAACUAGUCCUAACCCGGUUCAACUGCUGACUAUAAAAAAAGAAGCUAAUACAGAAGACUAUCAAUGCACCGAUUGUGGAAAAUGUUUUGAUAAAUCGUCUCUAUUAAAGCGUCAUAAAGUCGUUCACAAUUCUUCAAAGCCAUUUUUGUGUUCAUUUUGCGAUUCGGCAUUUAAAUGGAGAAAUAAUGCUCUAAGGCACGAAAGAAUCGUUCACGGAGAAAAAAAAAAAACAAGGUUUCAAGCUAUCAGUGAAUCAUCCAAUUUUGCUCAGUCAAGUAACACCAACAAGAGUCGAGGAUCUGCUGUAAGAACAUCUUUAGAGAGAAACCGCGUUGGCUUAAAAUUAUCUGAAGCUGCUCUAAAUAAGAGAAAAAGAAUUUGUAAUCCAGAAAGGCCUUUUAUGUGUAACAUUUGUAAAGCCUCAUUUACGUGGAAGAGUAAUUUGUACAGGCAUAAAAGAUUUCAACAUCAUACCGACAGUUCAACCGCUCUCAGCUGUUCAGCGUGUAAUGUUCACUUUGAUCUUAAAGCAAAUUAUGAUAAACAUAUGGAGUCAUGCCGUGGUGGGAAUACACCGGAUGGCUCAAAUGAAAUAAUUUCAGUUCAAGUAAAAAAUGGUGAGAAACCCGAAAAAAGAGAUCGAAAUGAUGUUUCAGCAAGAAAAAGGACGUUUUCAUGCAAAAUUUGUGAACUCAAAUUUGAUUAUAAAGAUGGUCUUGUCUCACAUAUCAUAAGAGAUCAUAAAGCUUUGAAAAAGUUUUCUUAGUACUUUCUUCUAGUUUCAUAUUUAAGAAUGUAUAUCUAUAGACUAAAGUAUAUUGUUUAUGAGUAUAUAUGUACUGAAUAUACACUAGGUGCUGUACAUAUACAUACAUAUAGUAUACAGUAUUUAUAUUUAUGUAAUACUUGUAUAUAAGUUUAUACCACCUUUUUAUUUCUUUUUCUAAAGGAAUAUUGUUGUUUUUCUAUAUUUAAUAAUUAAUUAGUUUUUCCUAUUCGUAUUCACAUUUCUGAUGUUAUUUCAUUUUUUAGUGAAAUUAGAUAUUUAAUUAUUUAUAUUUUUGUUAGAUAAAAGUGAAGAGCUAUCUCGUUCGAUGUUGAACUCUUAGUUUAUUAUAUUCUACACUAUGUUAAGCUACGCCUCAGUCGCCAUCUAACGAAAGAUGUUGUAAAAAUACAAAAUAUUAAGAUUUUUUGUUUUUGCAGUAAUGUCUUUAUAAAAUUUUCUUGCCCGAAAGUGUUUUCAUUCUGUACAUUUAAAGGCAAUUAAAAGAAAUAUACUACCUAUGUGUUAGUAAAUACCUUGCGAGUAAAGGAACCCAUACAAAAAGCGCACUUUAUGAUAAAUAAGCCUAUAGAAAUUGUUAUUUUAUACCUAUUUCUUAUUUUACUAUUGUUUCAUGUACGGCAGUCUCUAAUAUUCUAUCAAGCUAAUUCCUAUUUUUAAUUAGUACUAACAUUCUCUAUAAGG
Molecule: unclassified non-coding RNA, 2853 nt
Filed under: Dimorphilus gyrociliatus
Lineage: Eukaryota; Metazoa; Annelida; Polychaeta; Dinophilidae
Description: dgyrCDS12903
Source: RNAcentral